GUAGUCAUAUGCUUGUCUCAAAGAUUAAGCCAUGCAUGUCUAAGUAUAAGCAAUUAUACCGUGAAACUGCGAAUGGCUCAUUAAAUCAGUUAUCGUUUAUUUGGUAGUACCUUACUACUUGGAUAACCGUGGUAAUUCUAGAGCUAAUACAUGCUGAAAACCCCAACUUCGGAAGGGGUGUAUUUAUUAGAUAAAAAACCAAUGCCCUUCGGGGCUCCUUGGUGAUUCAUAAUAACUUCUCAGAUCGCAUGGCCUUGCGCCGGCGACGGUUCAUUCAAAUUUCUGCCCUAUCAACUUUCGAUGGUAAGGUAUUGGCUUACCAUGGUUUCAACGGGUAACGGGGAAUUAGGGUUCGAUUCCGGAGAGGGAGCCUGAGAAACGGCUACCACAUCCAAGGAAGGCAGCAGGCGCGCAAAUUACCCAAUCCCGACACGGGGAGGUAGUGACAAUAAAUACUGAUACAGGGCUCUUUUGGGUCUUGUAAUUGGAAUGAGUACAAUUUAAACCUCUUAACGAGGAACAAUUGGGGGGCAAGUCUGGUGCCAGCAGCC
This 551-nucleotide ribosomal RNA is filed under the name uncultured eukaryote. Its description in RNAcentral is "SSU rRNA". It matches the Rfam family "Eukaryotic small subunit ribosomal RNA", at positions 20 to 575 of the family's 1831-position model. The record is from RNAcentral.